GGCAAAUAUAACUCACGACAGUUGCGGAGCAAAGUGAGUGAGGUGCGAGGGAGAGAAUCUGUUUAGCUAAGAAUCAACGAGAAAGGAGAUGGCGAACGAGGAGGCGGAGAAGAAGAAGAAUACAUCUUCUAGUGAAGCUAAACAGCCUUUGAAGACGGCGAAGAAAAAAACAUUAGGAUGGAUGGAAUGGUUACGAGGAUGGUUCUAUUUGGUUUACGAGAUGCUUUUUCAAAGGAUAUUAGCUAGUCAUUUGCAGAAUCCUAUGCCUCUUCCUCCAAUUAACGACGUUACUUGCAUCGUUACUGGUUCUACCAGCGGUAUCGGCCGGGAAAUCGCUCGGCAGUUGGCAGAAGCAGGGGCACAUGUUGUUAUGGCUGUCAGAAGCACCAAUCGCGCACAGGAGUUAAUACGGAAAUGGCAGGAAGAAUGGUCUGGCAAGGGCCUUCCACUCAACAUUGAGGUCAUGGAGCUUGAUCUUCUCUCUUUGGAUUCUGUUGCACGAUUCGCAGAAGCAUGGAAUGCCCGCAUGGCACCAGUACAUGUUCUCAUCAAUAAUGCCGGCAUAUUUUCAAUUGGAGAACCACAGAAGUUUUCAAAAGAUGGGUAUGAGGAACACAUGCAAGUGAAUCAUCUA
This 634-nucleotide unclassified non-coding RNA is filed under the name Hevea brasiliensis (rubber tree). The record is from RNAcentral. Lineage: Eukaryota; Viridiplantae; Streptophyta; Magnoliopsida; Malpighiales; Euphorbiaceae.